GCCCUGCCUCCUCCCUGGCCCUUCACAGGACAUUUUCUUCCAACAGGUAGAAAAGGAUGGAGCUACUCUCAGGCUUCGUGUAGCAACAGUACCCAGGGAUCUGAUGAGUCUCUCACAGCUUAUAAAACCUGAGACAGCUGCCUUGUGUGCGACUGAGAUGCAGGAUUUCUUCACGCCUCCCCUUUGUGUCUUAAGGGACUCUGGCUUCUCUUUUUGCAAGGGCCUCUGAAUCUGUCUGUGUCCCUGUUAGCAUAAUGUGAGGAGGCAGACAAACAUCCACCUCCGUGUCUACCAUGACCCCCUUCCUCACACUGACCUGUGUGCCUUCCCUGUUCUCCUACUUUUCUAUUAAAAAUAAGAACCUGAGCA
Long non-coding RNA from Cercocebus atys (sooty mangabey), 369 nucleotides. RefSeq lists it as uncharacterized. Lineage: Eukaryota; Metazoa; Chordata; Mammalia; Primates; Cercopithecidae. The record is from RefSeq and is a predicted model, not a curated record. The transcript is spliced from 3 exons.